This is a long non-coding RNA of Hylaeus volcanicus, 2963 nucleotides long. RefSeq lists it as uncharacterized. The record is from RefSeq and is a predicted model, not a curated record. NCBI's taxonomy places the organism in Eukaryota, Metazoa, Arthropoda, Insecta, Hymenoptera, Colletidae. The transcript is spliced from 2 exons.
UGGAAGUUAACAAUUUUGAUUUAAUUGAUUUAUGGACAAUACAAUCGAUUCUAUACAAUAAUUUGUAUAGAAAUCCUGACACCAGAAAAAAAUGCCUCGAGUGCAAAGGAACACGAUACGUGUUUCCAAUUUUAUCGAAAUAAUAAAGUUUCGCAAAAGCGACGAACGUCUCUGAAACGUUCACACGGAGAUGCACGGAUAGCGUCCGUCCAUAGUCGAGGGUCGAGCGUGUGCGUGUCGACGAGUAUUCAUUGUCAGCGAAACACGAGAGCAUGGUGGCUGCACUUAAUAAGCAGACGAAACGUUGAACCGACUGCGAACGUACGUGAGCGUCUAGCGCCGGUGGCCCGCGCGGCGCAUACGGGCGGUGCAUAACUGAGCACGCAUAGGAAAAAGGACGAGUACAAGAAAGACUAAUUGCCAGUGCAGUCGCGAGACCCGUUGACGGAUGCACGGUGGAAAGCUGUUGCGCGACAGAAGCUCGCGGAAUGCGCCGCGUUAUCUUUAAUACAACCCCACGGGAAUAAUCCUAAGAGAGAUGCAGUCCUCCGAGUGCAUUCGGGAUGUCUCUCAAAAAUAGCACGCUUAACCCUCCGAGAGACCAGUAAUUCCUUAGCGUCGCGCCUGAAGAAACGACGAACUUCGCGCGCAGGUUCUCCGACAAACGUUUUUAAGGGUUGUUUCUCCGGGGAAACGGUUAGGAAUUUCAGCAGGGUCAGAGACGCGUAAAAGAAAUUAAAUGUACGUACUAAACGCUGUUACGUGCUUGUAAGGUCUUGUAAAAUUAUUUUACACGGUGCGAGACAUCUUUUUUCUUUCUUUUUUUUUUCAUUACUGUCGAGUGUAGCAAUGUAUACCAAGCCGAUGGUGUGCGCUGCAUGAACGCGCGUGUAUUAUUGUGUAUAUAUAUAAAUAAAUACUUACUUUAUGUGUGCAAACGCGCGUGAACAAUUCAUUUAAAUCCUAACCCACUAACCAAACUGACAAUUGUCAAAAAUGCUAACAAUUUCCCGUGUACCUGCUAUUGGAUUACGGGAUUCUUAAAGAGACAAAAUUCACAGUCUUUAAAUCUUUAUAUUAUAUCCUUUAUUGUUAGGACGCGAAAGGACGUAUUUUCGCCUCAAGAUUCGAACUAAGAGCGAACUCUUUUUCCAAAGCCAUUUUUCCAUAGGGAUUUUCACACUGGCCUCUUGAACAGAAAUACUGCCAGAGGCCCAACUAUACGAAAUCAGCAGAAACGAAACGUUCCCUUUCGAGAAACGCAGUGUCCCUCGACUCUAGAUUCAUCUUUGUCACAUUUGUUUAAUAAUGAACCAACGAACCGGCAACGAACAUUCCCAACGAAUUUUCUCCGGAAACGAGCGAAUGGAAAGUAGCAAAUACGUCGAGAAUUCUCGAAUUCCAUACUUAUCGGAUUCCAGGGAGUUCUGUUGGUUCUGGUCGCGAUGGUGGGGGGAGAGGUGUAGAUUCUCGAUGACCUUGAACGGCCAGUUGCUUUCGUUUCGAGCGUAGCCUACACCGUACGCGGAAUGCUUCUUUUUACCGAAACCGCAUCGCCCUGUUUCCGAUUGGACGACGCGGUGCAACGCGGCGCCCCGCUCCAAAUGCGGGUGAUCGUAUCGUGGCACGCGUCGCGAGCAAAGUGGAAGGAAUAGAUCCGGUACGAUAGGGUUUUAAGAAUACCCGCAAAUUCUCAGGAAUGUUGUCCCAGGUCGUGGCACGCUAUCGCGGCUCGUAUGCUAACGGAGCAAUGGGUAAACUUGUCCUCUGGUGAGAGGCGAGUGACGCGACAGGGACGGAUCGAGGAACAAAGGGCCCCCUCUCACGAUCGCCAUUCAUCUCGUCUAUUAUCGUCCGUCGUCGCUGAUUAUAAUUCGUACAGAAAGGCGAAUACUCGGUCGAAAUUGUCGAAAGUUUUAAAGAUACGAUACGUUUGUCCUGCAUAUGCGUGAAAGUUUUGUAUGUGCGAGGAUGGGUCACUCUUCGCGAUAUGUAGAUACAUAUAUGGGUGUCACGUGACUGAAAAAGGAACAAAAGGAAGUUUCGAAAAUAAAAGAAACCUUUGAAAACUCCUCUCUGCCGUACCCUUUACCCAGUACUGCGCAUUUAGUUCACAGCGAUCGACCGAUAAACUAAUUCGAUUUGUAUUUUACACGGGCACGCAUUCGUACGCGCGCUCGCAGUCUGCUACUCGUGGAACCCGUAAGGAUCGAUCGAAUAACAGAAACCAGUAUCUGGAACGACUUUCCUUGCGAAGGUAGUCAGGUGAACGAUAUGGCUCGCGACAUAUCUCACCGGCAACCGCUGCAAACUUUUCUAUUAGGAGCGAGAACGCGUUAUCAACGUCGGAGGGACCGAUGCGGUUAAUCCACGUAUCGGUCUGAUAAUCUCUAAAGACUCUGGAAACUGUUAACUUGCCACUUUUACGUUGAUAUCGAACGGGAACUGACAACUAUUCGGUUCUGUGUAUGCUUAAGGGGCUUGAAACGUCAAAAAAUAAAAAAUCAGUUGAAAGAAUUUUGCUUUAUUAAAAUUUUAAAUAAUCACUUUUUUCGCUACUUUAUUCAAAAUUUAAACGAUUCCGAACAGUUCCGCGUAAACAGGAUUGAAUUUGGAGCACUGGAAGUGGUUCAACAAUUUUUUUGAAAAAUAGAUUCCUUUUUCUAACAAAAAAAAAGUUCUAGGCUUUCUGUACAAAGGUACAUUUUUCUCAGAUACGGUCACACCGAUACGACCCAAAUUUUGCACACUUGUUUUCUGAUAGCUGGGCUUAAUUUAUACCGAGGAUUUUCUUGAAAUUCACAAUGGUUAAUUUUCAAAAAAUGUUCAAAGUUGACAAAAGAAAUUUUGUGUCAAAAAGAUUUGUUUGCCACUUCCAGUGCUUCAAAUUCAAUUCUGUUUGCGCAGAACCGUUCAGAACCGCUCGAAUUUAAAUUUAAAUUUAAAAAAAAAAAAAAAAUAAA